GUGCUCGCUUAGGCAGCACAUAUACUAAAAGUGGAAUGGUACAGAGAAGUUUAGCAUGGCCCCUGCACAAGGAUGGCAUGCAAAUUUGUGAAGCGUUCCAUAUUUUU
This 107-nucleotide small nuclear RNA is filed under the name Physeter macrocephalus (sperm whale). The record is from RNAcentral. Lineage: Eukaryota; Metazoa; Chordata; Mammalia; Artiodactyla; Physeteridae.